This 713-nucleotide ribosomal RNA is filed under the name uncultured cyanobacterium. RNAcentral's name for it is "bacterial SSU rRNA". It matches the Rfam family "Bacterial small subunit ribosomal RNA", at positions 94 to 839 of the family's 1533-position model. Lineage: Bacteria; Bacillati; Cyanobacteriota. The record is from RNAcentral.
AGUGGCGGACGGGUGAGUAACGCGUGAGAAUCUGCCUUCAGGUCGGGGACAACAGUUGGAAACGACUGCUAAUACCGGAUAUGCCGAGAGGUGAAAGAUUAAUUGCCUGGAGAUGAGCUCGCGUCUGAUUAGCUAGUUGGUGGGGUAAGAGCCUACCAAGGCGACGAUCAGUAGCUGGUCUGAGAGGAUGAUCAGCCACACUGGGACUGAGACACGGCCCAGACUCCUACGGGAGGCAGCAGUGGGGAAUUUUCCGCAAUGGGCGAAAGCCUGACGGAGCAAUACCGCGUGAGGGAGGAAGGCUCUUGGGUCGUAAACCUCUUUUCUCAGGGAAGAAAAAAAUGACGGUACCUGAGGAAUAAGCAUCGGCUAACUCCGUGCCAGCAGCCGCGGUAAUACGGAGGAUGCAAGCGUUAUCCGGAAUGAUUGGGCGUAAAGGGUCCGCAGGUGGCCAUGUAAGUCUGCUGUUAAAGAAUGAGGCUCAACCUCAUAAAAGCAGUGGAAACUACAUAGCUAGAGUGCGUUCGGGGCAGAGGGAAUUCCUGGUGUAGCGGUGAAAUGCGUAGAUAUCAGGAAGAACACCGGUGGCGAAAGCGCUCUGCUAGGCCGUAACUGACACUGAGGGACGAAAGCUAGGGGAGCGAAUGGGAUUAGAUACCCCAGUAGUCCUAGCCGUAAACGAUGGAUACUAGGCGUGGCUUGUAUCGACCCGA